This 433-nucleotide ribosomal RNA is filed under the name uncultured bacterium. RNAcentral's name for it is "partial 16S ribosomal RNA". It matches the Rfam family "Bacterial small subunit ribosomal RNA", at positions 29 to 507 of the family's 1533-position model. The record is from RNAcentral.
AACGAACGCUGGCGGCAUGCCUAACACAUGCAAGUCGAACGAGACCUUCGGGUCUAGUGGCGCACGGGUGCGUAACGCGUGGGAACCUGCCCUUAUGUUCGGAAUAACUCCCCGAAAGGGGUGCUAAUACCGGAUAAUGUCUUCGGACCAAUGAUUUAUCGCCUUUGGAUGGGCCCGCGUGGCAUUAGCUAGUUGGUAGGGUAAAAGCAUACCAAGGCGACGAUCCAUAGCUGGUUUGAGAGGAUGAUCAGCCACACUGGGACUGAGACACGGCCCAGACUCCUACGGGAGGCAGCAGUGGGGAAUAUUGGAAAAUGGGCGAAAGCCUGAUCCAGCAAUGCCGCGUGAGUGAUGAAGGCCUUAGGGUUGUAAAGCUCUUUUACCCGGGAUGAUAAUGACAGUACCGGGAGAAUAAGCUCCGGCUAACUCCGUG